Exaiptasia diaphana is the source of this 221-nucleotide long non-coding RNA. RefSeq lists it as uncharacterized. The record is from RefSeq and is a predicted model, not a curated record. The transcript has 3 exons. Lineage: Eukaryota; Metazoa; Cnidaria; Anthozoa; Actiniaria; Aiptasiidae.
GUUUUACUUGGUCCUUUUACUUGUAGGCUGAUCGUUUGAUGUUCGCUCUUCAUCUGGUUCACGGCACUCAUCCUGAAAUGUUUCAAACGAAGGAGUGGGAGUUCUUUUGCGGAAUGGUGGUUAGCGACAUGUUCAAGCGCCAGGAGUCGAUGAAGAACCUUCGAGACAGCAUGCCAUCCUGGAUAGAUUCUGACAGAGCAGGACCUGUUGGAUCAUUUAAG